RNAcentral lists this ribosomal RNA (253 nucleotides) under uncultured bacterium. RNAcentral's name for it is "partial 16S ribosomal RNA". It matches the Rfam family "Bacterial small subunit ribosomal RNA", at positions 524 to 776 of the family's 1533-position model. The record is from RNAcentral.
UACGAAGGGGGCUAGCGUUGUUCGGAAUUACUGGGCGUAAAGCGCACGUAGGCGGAUUGUCAAGUCAGAGGUGAAAUCCCGGGGCUCAACCUCGGAACUGCCUUUGAUACUGUCAAUCUAGAGUCCGGAAGAGGUGAGUGGAAUUCCUAGUGUAGAGGUGAAAUUCGCAGAUAUUAGGAAGAACACCAGUGGCGAAGGCGGCUCACUGGUCCGGAACUGACGCUGAGGUGCGAAAGCGUGGGGAGCAAACAGG